RNAcentral lists this ribosomal RNA (1136 nucleotides) under Cellulosimicrobium sp. Its description in RNAcentral is "bacterial SSU rRNA". It matches the Rfam family "Bacterial small subunit ribosomal RNA", at positions 319 to 1468 of the family's 1533-position model. Lineage: Bacteria; Bacillati; Actinomycetota; Actinomycetes; Micrococcales; Promicromonosporaceae. The record is from RNAcentral.
AGGACACCGGGCCCAGACUCCUUACGGGAGGCAGCAGUGGGGAAUAUUGCACAAUGGGCGAAAGCUGAUGCAGCGACGCCGCGUGAGGGAUGAGCUUCGGUGUAAACCUCUUUCAGCAGGGAAGAAGCGCAAGUGACGGUACCUGCAGAAGAAGCGCCGGCUAACUACGUGCCAGCAGCCGCGGUAAUACGUAGGGCGCAAGCGUUGUCCGGAAUUAUUGGGCGUAAAGAGCUCGUAGGCGGUUUGUCGCGUCUGGUGUGAAAACUCGAGGCUCAACCUCGAGCUUGCAUCGGGUACGGGCAGACUAGAGUGCGGUAGGGGAGACUGGAAUUCCUGGUGUAGCGGUGGAAUGCGCAGAUAUCAGGAGGAACACCGAUGGCGAAGGCAGGUCUCUGGGCCGCAACUGACGCUGAGGAGCGAAAGCAUGGGGAGCGAACAGGAUUAGAUACCCUGGUAGUCCAUGCCGUAAACGUUGGGCACUAGGUGUGGGGCUCAUUCCACGAGUUCCGUGCCGCAGCAAACGCAUUAAGUGCCCCGCCUGGGGAGUACGGCCGCAAGGCUAAAACUCAAAGGAAUUGACGGGGGCCCGCACAAGCGGCGGAGCAUGCGGAUUAAUUCGAUGCAACGCGAAGAACCUUACCAAGGCUUGACAUGCACGAGAAGCCACCAGAGAUGGUGGUCUCUUUGGACACUCGUGCACAGGUGGUGCAUGGUUGUCGUCAGCUCGUGUCGUGAGAUGUUGGGUUAAGUCCCGCAACGAGCGCAACCCUCGUCCCAUGUUGCCAGCGGGUUAUGCCGGGGACUCAUGGGAGACUGCCGGGGUCAACUCGGAGGAAGGUGGGGAUGACGUCAAAUCAUCAUGCCCCUUAUGUCUUGGGCUUCACGCAUGCUACAAUGGCCGGUACAAAGGGCUGCGAUACCGUAAGGUGGAGCGAAUCCCAAAAAGCCGGUCUCAGUUCGGAUUGGGGUCUGCAACUCGACCCCAUGAAGUCGGAGUCGCUAGUAAUCGCAGAUCAGCAACGCUGCGGUGAAUACGUUCCCGGGCCUUGUACACACCGCCCGUCAAGUCACGAAAGUCGGUAACACCCGAAGCCCAUGGCCCAACCGUUCGCGGGGGGAGUGGUCGAAGGGGGUCC